Molecule: non-coding RNA, 19292 nt
Organism: Callithrix jacchus (white-tufted-ear marmoset)
Lineage: Eukaryota; Metazoa; Chordata; Mammalia; Primates; Cebidae
Source: RefSeq, a predicted model, not a curated record
GUGGGGAGCACAUUGAUCAAAGGCUGUUUCAUCCCACUUGGGCACGAACCAUGCCACAUUUUACGGAGGAUGUCGCCCCAGAGAAGAGGGAGGUGGAGAAGAAGCAUAAAUGAAAAGCACUUUUCCCUUCCUCUGUAAGAUGCACAGAGAAUUUCUGACCUUGUGACGUUUGGGAGUGAGGGAAUCCUAUGAAGAGGCAUCAAGGUAUUUCCAGAGAUCCUGUGGUAAGCGAGGUCUGCCCUCUCUGGAGCCAACUUGUCUGUAAUAUCUUCCUAACAGCAGGUAAUGGUGCUAACAUUUAGUGAUUAGAAGUUACUCUUUAGCGUGUUGUAUCCUUGUUCCAUGGGUUUUGGUUACAGGUUAUACGAUUAGGUUUGCGAGAACAGUAGUGAACUAAACUUCUCAGUAAGAGGUCUUCACACCAGGGAAGUGUUACUUUUCUGCAGCAGCCCUGCCUCAUCACUCAUUAGGGAGCUGCAGGUUGUCAACGGCUGCUCUCAGCGCGCGCGCACCCUCAACGUCCCCGGGGGCGCGCACAUUCGCGAGUGUGUGUGUACACACACACACACACACACACACAGCACUAAAACUAAAUUAAGAAGCCGAUGAUUAAGGCAAGCGUCUACUAGGCCUGUCAUUUUAGCAUCCUUCCAUCAUAACAUUGUGGCACCGGCAAUUUUGCUUGAGAACCUCGAGCAAAAAAAAAUCUAUGGGAGAGCCUCGUAUAUAAGAGUGGAAAUGUUUAGCUUGUAUAAGCUAGGGAGCCACUUCAAAAGCGAGAAAGUCCAAGGUGAAGAAAAGGAGCAGGAGGAGGAAGAGGACCAGGAUGAGGAGAAGGCCUUGACGGAGAACGCUGGGACUCUCCAGGAAAGUCUCUGUGAGCUGCCAGGUGUUGCAGGCUCUCUGAAGCAAGAGACAUCCGCAGUCAUGAGAAAAGUCCCCUUGAUCUUCAGCAAAAUGUGCAUAGGUGAAGCUUUGUCCCGACAUUACCCAAAGAAGAACCAGGCGCGGAAAGAUCCGUGAUUAAAUACCACCAGAGGCCCAAGGGACCUUUAGUCUCUGGAAAAACUUCUCAGUCGAAUACUCUGUACUACAGCGUCUUGUAAACAUUGUAAACAUAAUGUCCACUACCCUUUCACUUGUUUCUCAUUAUUUGCCAGUGCCCUCCAGAGGGUAAGUGUUUUGCUGAAAGACUUGAGUCCCUGAUAGUGUGAGAACAGACCUGUUUCAUUUUUAGAUCUGAUCUAUUUGUGAGAAAUGGUCCCACACUGGGGAAGUGCCCCUGAGAGGCCAAUUCCUAUUUUUCCUCUAGUUGCCAAAGGAAAUGGUGCAGUCAGCCCUUCAAAGGAGCCAGGGGAAGCUCAAAAAACAAACAAACAAACAAACAAACAACAACAACAACAAAACAGAGUUGAACGGUUGUCGGUGAAGUUGAAUGAAGGAGACUAGAGCUCAGGUCCUCAGUUUUAACCCCCAGCUCUAUCCCGUAAGGGAGAAAGCGAGACUUGGCAAAAGCCAGCCCACAAAACGAUACUACCUUGGAUUUUUCAUCAGUGGGGCACUGAAAGAGAAAAGGGAAAACAGCUUUAUAAAUAUAUAUCAAGCUGAAAGAAAAACUUACAGGGCUAAAAAUGCUGCCCUCUUAAGAGUUGGAGCUCCUAACUAUCCCCUAACUGUUCUUAAUUAGUUGGAGCUUCAAUGCGAUUUCUAAUAGAAGCCACAAUCUACUUUGGGAAGUGUUAUAGAACCUUUUUGAGAACCUGUGUGCGUGUGUGUGGGGUAGGGGAGCGGUGAACCAAGACUUCUGUUUCUAAGCACACCUCCAAAUGGUCCCCCAGAUACCAGUUGUGUGAGAAAAGAUGGAAAGGUGUGACUCCCUCGCAAUUAUUAGCUGGUCACCUUUGAACUAGUCACCGCUCAAUAGUUAAAUGUACACGGAAAACACUCCGAACAGUUCAAGUAUCUUAUAGGAAAUGCUUGCACCCACUGAAGGUCUGAAAAAAUGAGAGGAGAGAAAACUUCCUAAGAGGGUAAGCAAGCCAGGAGGCAUGCAGAGAACCCUUCAUCCCAGUCUCCCUUAGCGUGAGGAAAGUCACAUCUACUAAUCAAAUUCAUCUGCUUUCUUUAAAAAAUACCUGGGUGGACAAACCAAUGGGCAAAUUUUUACUUUGUGCUUAUCUUACACCCACCUGGCCCUCACUCUCCGGUGUCGGUUCCGGUAGGUCUUCCCACCCCACCAGCUCCCACCCCUCCCCAAGCCAGGGAAAAUCUGUUGGAGCAGCGUUUCUCAAAAGGUCGAGCCCUUCUCCCUCCGCUGCCCACCCCCUUGAGGUUGUAACUGCGAGGGUUUCCUUCCAGGAGCGUCGCGGAGCUGGGGCUCCCAGGUCUGCGCGCCGCUGCUCCCUGCGCUUACCCGCGCACUCGCCCGGCGCUCCUUUGUUGCAGAGGCUUGCAGAGCGCAAUCCAGCCAGAGGCCUUGAUUCUAGGCGUCAUCUCUCCAGAUGUCCCCCCCUUAAAGUUGGCUUUUCAGCCUAAGUAUCUCUUUUUUGGCACAUCAGACCGGAUACAUACACGUAUCAAUAAUUCUGGGCCAAGAGGUCAUCUGCCACGGUAAACGCGGGGAAAUAGAAAACAGUUAAAGGUUUGGAGCUUGUAUUUCUAUAAGGCUCGGAACAUCUCAGAGUUAAAAGACUGAGGUGCAUGCAGGUGACGUGAAUUCAAAUAUUCAAUUGCACAUAAUGGGUAUUGAACCCAGUCGGGGAGAGCAGUCAUACCCGUAUUUCUCUCCCGCUCUUUGGAAGGAGUCGUAUGCGGGGAGGAGAGGAGAGGACGGACUAAGCUACUGGUAGAGCGGCAUCAGGAGCAAGUUACCGUUAUCCUGUGUAAACAAAACAACUCCACUCCUUCCACUCCUUUGUGUCAGAAUCAACAACAUCAAAGGUGUGGGUAUUGGGGGGAGGGUUACUUUUAUUUUUCAAACAACCCUAGAUUCUUGUUCACCAAUUUUAGUAUCUUCCUUCUGGGAUUGUCCUAAGUCACGCAGGAGAGAAAGUAACGUUCGAGAAAAAAGCUGGGUCGGCAAGUUUGGCUCCUGAGCCUGUGAACUAUGAAUCACCGCGGUGAAGAGUUUUUCUUUUCUUUUUUUUUUUUUCUCACCCUCUUCUUUUCUCCCGGAGCCUGAACUUGUUAGAUAAGAUAGAGGAGGCUACAAGGAAAUAGAAAUGCUGAAAAAGCCCAGCUCCUUUGGAGAGCAGCCUGUGGGUCUGGCAGGCGGCUGCCGCGCGCUCUCCCCCAGCUGAGGGGCACCGAGCUAGCUCCGGAGCUGUCCCAACUUGGGCCUCCUCGGCCCCCCGCAGUGCAAGACACCAAGCUCACACCGCUGCCUUGGCCGGCUUUCCUUUUGGCCUUAGAAUAAACACUCCGAAAGAGGAGACAACAGCCUCUAUUUGAGCUGAGUGUCUGUUCUCCCGCUCGAAACACAAAACAGGACCCGCAAGUUUUCCUAGAAGAAGUCCCAAUCACAAAACAGUCGGAGGAUGGGAAACACUAGAGAAGUCUGGAAUUACACAUGAAACAUUAUUUUCCAAAUUAGUUAAAAAUAAUUCUCUUUUCCUAUUUAUAUGCAUAUGCACGCUACUGAUUACACGUCCCUAUUUACUUGAAAAAAUACUUGGAGUAUCUUUAGUACACAUUGCUUAUUUUUUGUCCCCUUGAACAUUUACAGCUGAUAGUUUGGCUGGUUGGUAUCAAUUAGCACUGGAUAUUGCCCCAGGAUUGCUCCCCAGGGCGGACAAGUGGAGUCAACUUAUCUCCAGUGACUUUUUCCCUGCUCACGUGCACAUCCACGCCAGGGCUUCAGAAGCAGUUCAAAAUCUCCAGCCUUGGUUUCACUUGAGUUUGUUGUUGUUAUUGAUAAAUACUGGGUCAUACACGAGGCACUUGUCAGAGCCUUUGGCUCCAUCUCGCAGCUGCAGCUCCUACCGCGAUGUUUGAGUCCUGUCCUAGGAACUGGAAGGAUUUACUGGGAAAAGAAUUACACAUUCUCUGUUCCUUCAGUUUUGGAGAUGGUCCCUGAAGAUCAUCACGUCUGUUUGCUGUCACAUUUAUUUCUUGAUUGUUCUGCUAUGUGAACAAUGGGAAGAUGUGUGCAUCUUUCCCCCUAUCUUUUUAAAACAAUUAUUGAAAUUGUUUUAAAAAAGGGGGUGGGGGGAGAAAUAUUGAUCCCAGUCCUUUCCAUAUAUUUGGAACCAAAAUAACAUAGGUAGGCAAACAGAUAAUAGUUUUAAUUGGCGAGGGAUGGGUGGAUUGGUAGGUAGGCCCUUUGGGGCUUGUGUAACUGGAGUAAUGUAUACAGUUUAUCUUUUAGCUGCGCCGUAUAUUCUUUCCCUUGAUACAUAUUGCACAUGAACUGAAUCCAUAGCCUACUUGUCUUAGCAUGUUUGAAGCCCCAGACACCCAACAGUAUCAUUACAGGAAAGAGACAAAGACUCAAGGCAGGGAGGUGACUAACUUUGGGGCCAAUGGGGAAUUUAUCUUGACGUUGAACUUUUUUAGGAAGCGCACUCACUGGCUCAGAGUCCCUUGCUGCGCAGAGUUCAGGUCUUCCCCAAGCUGAAGUGCAGGGAGGGGGUGUGGAAAAAAAACAACUGAUUUUUGACAUUUCAAAGGGACUCUUUCUGUUUAUCAGUGUUACCGAAGUGUACGUUACUGGAGAAACAACAAAACAAGCAUAGAGCUGCAAUUUUCAAGAAAAUAGGAUCCCCAAAUAUAAAAAUAAAAAAGUAGCAGAUAAGAUGUAUAAUUCAAUCAAAUUACACAAAAUUGCUUGAAAAACUAGAACAGUAGCAAUCCAUUAUGCCUCUGUUUUAUUAGUGACAAGUACAAUUACUCUAAAAUAAAGAACACUGGUGAAUAUAUAAUUGGCUGUAAUCAUGUUAGUGUUUGAAUAAAAAUGACGGGAACAUUUAACACUUUGACAACAAAAUGUUCAGAAAUAACUUAUUUAUUCAAACAGUUUUUAUUUUCCACCAAGUGAAGGAGAAACACAGUUUGCUUAGGAAAAUCAAUGACUUUUCCCUGCAAUAAAUAAAUAUCCAAAAGGGGAAAAAAGCAGCCCCACACCUCUGUAUUAUUACUGUUAUUAUUUUUAACCAGCAAGAAGCUUAAUCCUGUGUUUGAAGUCAGCGCUCAUCUAGCCGCAGUUUGGUACCAAAGUCCGCCACCUAGAGGAAGAGCUCUGCAGCUCAGAACCCGUUUUUCCGCGGUGACCCGGGAAUCAAAGUCAAUAUUCCUUUGGAAAUUGCUCUCCUAACCAACUCCCCCUCCCUUACCCCUCACGUCCCCUUGUACCCUACAACGUCGUCACAAUAUUUUCUUAGUAAUUGCUUUGUACAAUUGACAGAAGCGCCGCGUCUCCAGCAGCGCGGUGCUCUCCCAGGAAAGCUUGAGGGCGCUGGGGAAGCUGAUCAGGGAAUAUUUGGUUCUGGAGAGACAAUCCACUUUCAUACACAGUGGUCUAGAGCAGCUUGACUUGGGGGCUCACGAAGUGACGGCUGGUGGAGGCAUCGCCACAUUCCAAUGCUUCCCCCCCGCCCCCGCCUCUGGCCACCAGUUGGUAUCGCGGGGGCUACUCCCGACUUUUCCCCAGCGCCCCCACUCCCCACCCAAGCGCGAAGAUCUAAGAUCCUGGCUUUAUUUAAUCAUCUACUCUGUUCUUGGAGCCCAGUGGGUCCUUUUAUUCUUCUAGGUGGGUUGCUUGAAGAACUGAGUUAAAAAGGUAUUAAAGAGGAGGCCAUGUUUGCAGGGGUCCCCCUGUGGUUAGGGAGACCGACCAGGAGAACCCCCAAGUUUUUACACUGAGCUGAGUCUCCGAGUUUCAAGAAACUUAGGCAGGGUGCGAGAGAAUUUGAGGUUGUACUCGGAAGCACCGGGAGCCUUUUUUGGAUUUUAGUCUUGGUGGAUCCUAUCGGCUCUUCACGCAGAAAAGCCAACCAUUGUCGAGCUCAUCCUCUCAAGUAAUUCUUGGAGAAGGGAGAUGCUAAACAAGGGAACGUGGGACUCUGGGAAGAAAUUUACCAACAGAAUUCGAGCGCUCAAAGUCUCCUUAACACCAGUACUGCAGACUCACUCUGCUAUGAGCCCCGCGCCUGCCCUCCAGGAAUGUCUCACCGCCCCACUCAUCCAAAGUUUUGUUUCUAUUGCCUUAGGGCACUUAGACUAUUGUUCAAGCUGAAGAUUUCCUAGAAAGAAUUGGGGUCUCACCCUUUCCCAUAGGCUGGAAUGCAGCAGUGUAGUCACAGCUCACGGCAGCCUUGAACUCCUGGACUCCAGUGAUCCUCCCACCUCAGCCUCCCAAGUACCUGGAACUACAGAGUCUUUGCUCUGUUGCCCAGGAUGAAGUACAGUGGCGUGAUCUCAGCUCACUGCAACCUCCACCUCCUGAGUUCAGGCAGUUUUCCUGCCUCAGCCUCCCAAGGAACUGGGACUACUGGAAUGCACCACCAUGCCCAUCUAAUUUUUGCGUUUUUAGUAGAGACUGGAUUUCACCAUGUUGUCCAGGUUUGUCUUGAACUCCUGAUCUUGUUAUCUCCCUCAUUGGCUGGGAUUACAGGGGUGAGCCAGAAUUCUUAUCUUUCUCUGACUAAGAAUUAAAUAAGUUUUUCUUCUUCAGGUGCUUUCUCUUUAUUUUUUCUUGGCCUGAAUGCCUUCUCGUGUCACUCUAUAUUGCCCAUCUGAAAGUCCAUCUGAUUGAUCUUCACUACUUCCUUCAAUUUAAUGACCAUAAUUUCUUAAUGAAUUCUAAAUAUUUACCUUUAGAUGAACUUAUUUUUGAAUUUCAGAUGUUAACAUUCAACUGCUUAUUUAUAAUCCCCAUCUAAAUGUCCCACGGGCAUCUCCAGACCAACAUAGUCAAAACUGAACCACUCAGCUCCUCAUCCCUUCCCCUCAAAUUUCCUUUUUAUUUUUGUUCACUAUCCAUUUAUUUAUGUAAGUCAAAACCUAGGUUUUCAACAAGAAAUCUGGCUUAAGAUCACAAAUCACAUUGGAAUGUUGAUUAAAGUAGGAUCUGGUCUACACGUGGUAACUGAAAAGCUUAAGGCUUUCAUAAUGUAGCUUAUGUAUCAUGAUACUGAACUGUGUUUUAUGAAGCAACAAUACCUAUAAAUAGCGCAGAAAGUUUUAUAACGUGCCUGAUAUUUGGGAAAUACCAAACUACAAAAGUUUGGCUCAUCUUUGGAUUUAAGCCUUUUCUAUCUAUUAUUUUUCAUGCUCUAGCUUACUGAAACUUGUGAAAAUAGCAUUCCCAUAAAUUUUAAUUUGAAUAUAUCUAAGAGUCUUCUAGAUUUUAUUUGUUUAUAUGUUUUUUAAUAUUUUGAAAUCCUGUGCAGUUAUCAAGCCCACUGCUUUUUCUAGUUGGCACAUAGCACCUUUUGUCUUCUCUCCAUAGCAUUGUCAAGAAGGACAUUUUAUUCUACACUAGCCAUUUAUGUCCAGCCCCACAAGUACCCAAAAUCUUAAUACUUUAAAUUAAAUUUAAUCAGGUUCGGGUCCAAAGUGGCUCCCGCCGGAGGUCAUGGCGAUCGCGAAGGUGAGGUCAUCAGUUCAAGGCUAACCUGAGCAACCUCAUAAAGCUCAAACUGACUGGCAAAAAACAAAACAAAACAAAAAAAAUUUAAUCAGGUUCUUGUACUGAAUUAUUUCCACUAUCCUAAUAUCAUUUUGCUUCAUAUCAUUUAAACUUAUAUUCUAGUAAAAUUUUUGUUUGUAAUUUUUGGUGCUCUGAUCUUUAAUAUGUAGAAACAAUUUUAGCAAAAGUUUAUGUGGUUUACAUUUGGGAAAUGCUUUAUCUUUCUGUUGAAGUUUCACCAUACAUGCUAACAUACUUAAACUCUGAAAAGUAAAGGCUUGUGGAAAAUGACACUUGUUUAGCUUGUUUAAUCCAGCAGUUCCCAUGGAACUUAAAAAAUGCGUAGCAUUUGUUAUACUAUUUAGUUUGAGAGAUCUACAACUUUAAAAUUGAUACUUAGCUUCAUGAAUACCUUUUCUAUUUCAGAGACUACAUAAGAGAGGAAAUCUUUCAUUUGUGAACAUUUUACUUUGUAGACAAUAUAGGAGUCUUUUUUCCCUUUCUGAAAUGGUUUCCUUCAUUGCUCACCAUUGCUUCAGAUAAUUUCCAAAACUCCUUGCCAACUAGUUUUAAGCAAACUUGCUUUCUGAAGGUGAGUUUCUCUUUUUCCCCUGUCCCCAUCCUCACAUUGCCAAGUCUUUGUGUCCUAUUUCUUCUACCUUUUUGCUUUCUUCCUUUCCUUUCUUACAUUCUAGUUUUGUCUUGCUGAUGUUCUUCCAACUUUAUAGAAUAUUAUUAUUUUUAUGUUGUCACAAUGACUUUACAGGAAAACAUACAUUACAGGAUAGUUGUUUACCUCAGAAUGCUUCAGUUAACAAAGUAUUUUGUGUAGAUUUUCCUUUAGUCUGAAAUCUCCAUACCUUAGAUGAGUUCCAUCACCUGACUUUUCAGAAACACAUCAGUUAUAUUAAAAUGAAGCAUAUCUGUAACAUGCUUAUAAGAAUGUGCUAAUGUAAUAGCACUAAGGGAAGAAUAGUGUUUUGGCAGAUACAUUUUUAAUUAAUUGCUUUAAUAAAAGUAGCUAAAACUCUAUCUUCCACAAGGCAUAGAACAUGUACUUCAGUAUUUAGGUCAGCUCAUACACGACUAUUAACUGGCAGGGAAGUCAGUGCUCUUUGUUACAUGGAUACAACAAUAUCAGAGAACUGUUAGAAUAACUUAAACUUCUCUAAUGAGCUUCAGGGCUUUAAUGAGAAGAUUUUCUAUUCUUAUGUGAUCAGUAUUGCUCUGUGCUAGAAAGAGAACUCUUUUUUUUCCUGAAGGAAAUGUAGAGUAAAAUAGUUCAAGAUAAAUGAUUAAGAGGAAGUUAAGAAGUGGUUAAUCUCUUAUAGCCCAAUGGAGAUUAAUUAUUGAUAACAAGUAACUGCCACCAGUAUAGGUAGGCUCUCCAAAUAAUCAUUAUAGCUUAGAAUAAAGUAGCAAGAACUAUUUUUAGUCUACCAGCAUUUUAAUCAUUUAUUUUCUGCAUUCAGUCAAUCAAGCAAUUAGCGUAGACUGGCUAUAAAAUUGUGUUAUAAGUUUAGAGACACUCGUAUAAUUCACAGUUGGUCUUGAGUAUUUUUUCUAUAAAAAUAGUCACAGCAAAUCAUUAUAUCAAAAUGGACAAACUGGUUUGAUGUGUGUUUAUAUGUAUGUCUAGGUACACUUCUCUGUGUGUUUGUGUGUGUAGGUAUGUAGCUGUGUGUGUGCAUACACAAAUUUGGAAAAUCAAUAGGUUAGAAGAAACAGAAUAAUGAAGGAAAAUGAGAAAAAGAUAGUCAUAAAGAGUCACUGAUAAUAAGGAAAACAUUAUCAGGUUAUGUGAGCAUAUAUAAUCAGUGGCCUUUUUGUACAAAUACAUCUGUUUUGAGAUAUUAGAUUCCACUGACAUCAGCUGAAGCAGAUUUCAGGAUGUCAAGGAGAAGUAGUGAGAAGUAGAAGUGACUGUAAAAGUAGUAGAAGUAGAAGCAGUGAAGAUGUCAAGAAGUUUUUGAAAGAAGUAAAAUAGAGGUAGAUGGUCAUCACAUUUAAAUAAAGGUUAACAGACUCUAAAUAUACAGUCAAAGAUAUUUAGGAAAAUAGAAUGGAUUUUAAAUUUUUAUUGGGAAAACUGAUUGUAAAGAAGAAGGAGUAAAAGCAAAUACUAGAAUAAAAACACUGGACAGGGAAAUGAUUUUGUUGUUGGUUUCAGCUAUCUCCGAAUGUGUGUUUAGGUUUUAACUUCAGCAGGAGACAUCACAUUUAUUUAAAAGAAGAUCUACAUUGAUGAUGUCAUAAUCCAGCUAUGCUUUUUGAAGCUUAUGGGGAAAGACAAUCUCUUGCGUGCAGUCUUUUCACUCCCACUGGGCCACAUAAAAAUGGGCAUGGAACCCUUCCUUACCCAUAAUUAAGGGGGCCCACACAGGCUGACCAGGGCUUAUGGCCUUAUUUGGGAAUAUCUUUUGCUGUUUCAGACUCAGUGUAUACUUCUUUGUUCUGUGUGUGUCUGAAUAGUCCUCAGACAUGUCCUCUCCCCACAAUUUUUUUCCAGAUACCAUAGAAAGGAGGUCAAGGUUCUUUCACUGCAGCACCAAGUGGAGUACAUGAAGCCGCACUGCCCACGAAGGCUGCGGCGUGAGUCUGCUAGCUGUGAAAGACAGAUGCAUUACAAGGGGAUAGAUUUAAUGCACUUUUCUUAUCUUACUGUGAAUAGAUGCUGCACUUCUUGAGCCUGGAAUGGGUGUUGUCUGUUCUCAAUGACCUUGAAUCAUACAUUGUCUUUUUAUUUUUUUCCCCUGGGUGGCAUUUACUGGCCUUUUAACAUUGGCUGCACUCCUGAUAUUCUAUCCUGCAGCACAGCCUGAACACCCAGUGAACAAUGAAGUAAACCUUCUUCCCAAACUUCAGUGAUGAUUGUGCCACGGUUUGGAGGUAGGAGAAUUUCAAGCCAUUAAUCACCGAUCAAUACUGAAUGUGACUGAGAAUGGCUCCUUCAGGUCUAUCAGCUUAUUGCUGCUUCUGUGUCAUUCUUAGACCAAACAACAAUGGUAAUCAACUCAGUUUGGCUGAUUUGUGCCUUUAGUUGAACCUUCUCAGUUGGACCACACAGCCAUUCUUCUCUUCAGUCUCAUAGUCUUUCCUUCAGGAAUUCUGCCAGGAAUAAGCAACAAGUUUCCUACUGCUCAGGGUCCCCUCUAGACCUCUCUUAUUUCAUGUUCAGAGGAAUGUACUCCAUAUACUGUCUUAAACUCCAUCUUUCUUCUGUUAUUUUUUUCACAUUUGACAUUUAUACUCAUUAAAACUAGAAUCUGAAUAAUUACCACCAAAGAUAUUGUUUACCCCCUCCCUCUUUUUUUUUUUGCACCAGAGAGCUUAAUCUUUAAAAUGUUCUGUGAGAGAUGGGAAUGGUAGGUAUACUGUCUUUCUAGUGUGGAAAAAGUAGGGAGAAUGACACAAUAUUGUGUUUAUAUUAAGAUUAUUUGAAUAUAAAUACUUUGUCAAAUUUGUGUUUAAGCGUGCAUGUUAUUUUUAAUAAUUAGAGUGAUAUAUGUAUAUAUAUAUAUAUAUCUUAAGAAAUAGCAAAUUUUUUUAUCAAAUUGGAGUCAAGGAGGCAUGGAAAUUCUUUUCAUUUUAAGUGCUCCUAAAUUCCUGCUUAUUCUGUGUUUAAAAUUAUAUCAAAAAGAUAAUUUGAGAUUAAGGUAAUUAAUCAGAAAUUUUAAUUAAAAAAGAAAUUGAAAACGUAAGUAAAAUUUCCUGUGGAAUUGUAGGGUUUGUCAUCUACACAGAUAAUAUUCACUAAGUAGAAUAGUAAGUCUUUUCUUUCCUCUUAUGAAAAGAUUUUUCUCUAAUUGUCAUUGACUAUAUAGUAAAAUGAAGCUAGAUUAUAUAAAUAUUCUUAUUGAUUAAAAGUUUAAAAUUGCCUGUCUCCCAAGAAAUAUGCCUGAAUUCAAGAAUAUCUGUGGCAAAGAAUAUCUUCUUGCAGUUUUUUUUCCUACUGUAAAUAAAGGGUCAACCAACAUCUAAUAACUCACAACUGCAUCUUUUCUUGUUAGAACAUGUCGCCCAGCACUUUUUGAUUAGAUGUUCUCAGAUAAUAGCUGGGGCAGAUUGACCAAAGGAGAGCAAUUUUUUUUUAAUCAGGAUAACAUAAUGAUUCUUUCACAAACUUUAGAUAGGGCUAUGGAUAUCACCUUUUUUUUUGUCUAUUAAUAGUGCUGUAUUUUUAGUGGAAUUAAAGAUGAGACCUUCUCCAGGUUUCAAUACAACUUUAUAAAAGGGCAUAACAAUGCCUUUAAAAUCAAAUCUAUUAACUGUUCUACAGAGAAUCCGAUUUUCUAGUAACUUGGCCAUAACUUGAGGACAGCGACCCUGAAAACUCCAAGCAUCUGCCAGAAAUCUGAAUUAUCUGCCAACUAAAGUCAGUAAUCUUGGCUCGUCUCUGCAUAAGUUAUUUUGUGGACAUCAAUUUCAUCACCUAUGAAAGAAGAGAGUUGUCCAACAUGUUGUGAGGUCUUCCAGUUGCAAGUUCUUUGGAUAAUUUGAUUGGAACCCAAGAGAUGUCCUAAAUCUGACUGACAUGCAGUAAAUGUUUGUUGAUUAUGAAAAAGUAUUUGACUUCCAAAUAGGUAGUAAAAUAUCUUGUGUGGACAUACUAUGGCAACUUAACACUUAUAAUUUUGGGAGCAGAAAAAAUGUAAUUAAGUCACAAAUGCAAAUAAAUUCUUUCUUUAUUUAAGUCAAAGAAAAAUAGUUGUCAACAAACAAUCUGAAUUAAGAGAAAAAAACCAUCCAUAUACUGGUUGAAAAUAGUAAACAUUAUUUUUUUGUGAAGUGCCCCAACUGGGUGGUUUACAUAUAUUAACUGUAAUGAUGUAUUAAAAACAAUUUUCACCUGCAUUUAGUUUAACUGCAUUUAUGCUUUAUGAAUAUCACCAGUGUAAUUAUUAUUUUAAAAAUAUGUAGCUGGAGAAAUAAACAUUUAGACAGGUAAGAAAACAGACUGAAGUUUUAAAUUUUAUUUUUAACAGUCAUUCUAAAAUAAUUAUCAUUAUAUAUUUGUAUGACUGUUACAUGUUGAAAUAAAAAACAUGGAAGUGUCCUUUUAAUUAACCAUUGUUAUGUAUAGAGAAUUAAAACAUUUUAUGUAUAUAAAGUUACUAAUAAUUUUUUGAGCACAUAGACUGUUCUACAUACUUACCUAGAUUUACUUUUUAACUCUUGUAAUAGCCCCGUGAACUAUCUACUGUUAUUGUCAUUAUUCCCAUUGGGCAGGUGAGGAAACUGAGGUCUAGAGAAGUUCAUUAAUUUGGCUAAAGGCACACAGUCAAUAAGUGGUAGAGACAAGGUUUGAACCCUGGUAUUCUGGUUUUAUGCUUUUAACCAACUGCUUCUUAGUGGUAUCUUAUUGUGAUGAUUUUGGAAAACACUAUUUAUUUAUUUGAAAUGUAUUAAUAGUCCUUAUUUAUCUACAAGUUUAGUAAAGAAAAAAUUAACCUUUCUAUAUAUUCAAACAAGAAGCAUAAUUUUCCAUUUUUAUCAUCUGCAAUUUGUUUCCCUAUGCUUUGUGAAAUGACAAGCUUUAUAUCAACAUUUAAUUUUGUUUUAAUCAUUUGUAUGAUUUGCUUGCCUUUGUGCUAUUAAAUAGAACGUAUCAAUGCUUUUUCUGCAUUUAAUAUUUAGGGAACCAAUUUCUGAUGAGUUGCCAUGAGUUGAGAAACUCUCUGUAUGUACUCCAUGAAAUUGUAAGUAGCCAAUACAUGUCUCUACACAUUCCCUUAGGAGGACUUAUUUAGGUCUAUCAGAAUUAUUUUAACCCAAAAUAUGUUUCAUUUAGAAAUGAUUGGAUCAUGUUUUACUCAAGCAAUUGAUAUUAAAUCACAUUAAUAUUACUUCAUUUUUUAUUCAGAGGUUUAAAACAUCUGUCCCUUUUACUGUUUUUAAAAACUUAACACUGACAAUUUUUAUAUGUUUUGAUAUCAAAUAUAAUAAAUUAUAAACAAAUCAAGAAUAAUAACAAAAUAAAAGGAAGAAAGAUGAGGAAAAAUCAGUCUAAUAGUAUACAGUAAUUUCUUUUUUCAGUAAGGGAAAUUACUGCUUAUUUGCAAUAGAAUCUAUCUAUUCCAAGCUCUUUUAAAGAUAAUUUCUGUUGCAAAGUGAGAACAUUUGAAGUUCUAUUUGAAAAAUGCAGUACUUCUGCCCUGGUGAGAAUAGAUAAGCUUUCAGGUUUCUUCUUAUGGAAAAGAUAAGCCCACUGCUACUGCUGCUGCUGCAAAAAGGAAAAGAAAGUUUUAAAAAUCUGUUAGUAGACACAUGUUAGCAGGAAAACAGUUCCCCAGGGCUGGAAAAACAAGCAUCUGCCAUUGAUUUUGUACUCAGUUGAACUUUAGAGAGUCACAUUGAUACAUUAUUAGAUGAGGAAUUACACAGGUUUCAGUGAGUUCCUAAUGAAACCAGUAUUUUAAAAAUUAAAAUAUUUUGAUUUGCUUAACCUUUAACUUAAGUUGUAUUGUGUUAGUCUUAUUCAAACUCAUUCAAAAUGUUUAUGGGAUUUUUUUCAUGAUCUUCUGAUAAUUUUUUUGAAAACUUUGCAUUUCGGGGUUGUAAAUAUAGCUUAUCUGAACUCUAGAAGUCAUAUUGGUCAGGGUUUCUGGAAGUAAUGAGAAAAGUUAUCUAGAGUAUCUACCUAUCGGUUAGAAUGCUUUGUGAAGCAAGUGACUGAAAAUGUAUUAUCUUCCAGGGAUGUCAUCAAGGUGAGUUGGUUUAGCAGCUUAGCCUUGUCAUCAAGCAUUCCAGUAUUGCAAUUCUUUCAGCCUCUCUACUCUGCUGCCUGCAACAAAUGUUUAUACAAAGGCUGAUUUCUUUGUGAUGUGAAAUGGCUUUAUGUUUGUCCAGUGUGUGUGAGUGGCAGGGGGAGGGGGCUUUUCAUGUGUAUAAGUGAAUUAAGUUGAAAUUAUUUAGGAAAGGGAGAACAAAAAGGAAGAAAGAAUACUGGAUCAUCAAUUUCCAACACAGGAAAGAAUAUGAAGUCUUGCUCUGUCACCUAGUCUGGAGUGCAAUAGUAUGACCAUAACUCACUGCAGUCUCAAAUUCCUGGGCUCAAGCAAUCCUCUCACUUAACCUCCCAAGUGGCUGGGACAACAGGAUCUCACUCUGUUGCCCAGGCUGGAGUGCACUUGCAUGACCGUAUCUCACUGCAGCUUUGACCUCCCUGGCUCAAGUGAUCAUCCCACCUCAGCCUCCCAAGUAGCUGGGACUACAGGGGCAUAUAUCCUUGGCUAAUGUUUUAAAAUUUUUGUAAAAUUUCUUGCUGUGUUGCACCUUUCUUAUGUUUUAUCUGACAUCUAUAUAAUAUUAAAGUAGGCUAGAGUGUUGCAUUAAGGAAUAUUUCAUUUUCUACUUUUUAAAAUGCUAAAAUUAAGUUUUAUUCUGAAAUAAGUCUGAGUGUAUAGAAAAAUUGCAAGACCAGGAUAAUGACGUUUUACCUAAACCACUUAAGUGAGUUAUCAAUACAAUGCCCCAUUAUUCCCAAAUGCUUCAUUCUGUAAUCCUUACAAAGACAUUCACCUACCAAUACAAUAAUCAAAAAAAAAAAAACAUUGAAACAUUACUAUCAGAUCCUAUGUUUCAUUUAGCUUUCUCUUAAAAAAUUAGUUUAGUUUUUAGAGUUGUUUUAGCUUCACAACAAAAUUGAACAUAAUGUACAGAAAUCCAAAUACCUUCAUCCUCCCCCAAUAAUCUCCCACGCUACAACUGUUGAGAUCCUGCAACAAAGUGGUGCAUUUGUUAUAAUUGAUAAACCUGCAUUAACAUGUCAUUAUCACUCCAAGUCCAUAGUUCACCUUAAAGUUUACUCUUGGUGUUGUGAAAACUAUUAUAUUUGACAAAUGUGUAAUGACAUGUAUCCACCUUUGUAAUAUCAUACAGAAUAGCUUCACUGCCCUCAAAAAUCUGUUCCACCUCCUUUCCUCCCACCUAACCCCUAGCAACCACUGAUCUUUUUACCCUCUCCACAGUUUUGGGGUUGUCCAGAAAGUUACUUAGUUUGAAUUAUAUUAGUAUGUAGCCAUUUCGGUGUGGCUUUUUUUCCCUUAGUAAUAUAUAUUUAAGUAUCCUCCCUGUCUUUUCAUGGUUUGAUAGCUCAUUUAUUGUUAGUGUUGAAUAAUAUUUUAUUUUCUGCAUACACUAUAGUUUAUGUAUUGAUUCACUCUCUAAAGGACAUCUUGGUUGCCUCCUUAUUAUGAAUGAAGAUGCUGUAAUCUGCAUUCGAGAUUUUGUGUAUGCAUGCAUUUCCAACUCAUUUGGAUAGACACAAAGAAGUUAAAUUGCUGAAUCAUAUGGUGAAAGUAUGUUUAAUUUUGUGAGAAGCUGCCUACAUGUCUUCCAAAGUGGCUGUAUGAUUUCACAUUCCCGUCAGGAACAAAUGAGAAUUUCUGUUUCUUCUUGUUCUCACCAACAUUUGUGUUGUGGGAAUUUUGAAUUUUCACCAUUCUAAUAGGUAUGUAGUGGUAUCUCACUGGUGCUUUAAGUUGUAAUUCCCUAAUACUUUAUCAUUUUAUGUGAUGAAUUUCCACCUGUAUCUUCUUUGGUGAAGUGUCUGUUCAGAUCUUUUGCCCAUUUUUUAAAAAAUUAGUUAAUUUUUUUCUUACUAUUGAGCUUUGGGUAACAGCCCUAUAUCAAAUAAGUCUUUUGCAAAUAUUUUCUCCCAGUCUGUGUCUUGUCUUCUCACUCUGCUGACAUUGUUUCUGCACAACAGAUUCUUUUAAUUUUAAUGAGGUCCAGUUUAUUUAUUAUUUCCUUCACGAAAUCACACUCUUGAUUUUGUAUCUAAAAAGUCACCACCACACCCAAAGUCAUCUGGAUAUUCUUCUAUGUUUUCUUCUAGGGUAUUAUAGUUUUGCAUUUUAUAAUUUAGGUCUGUGAUCCUUUUGGAGUUAAUUUUUGUGAAGAGUAUAAUAUCUGUGUUUAGAUUCAUGUGUUUUGACAUGUGAAUGUCCAGUUUGUGCUCAUACCAUUUGUUGAAAAUCUUUUUUUUUCAUUGUAUUACCUUUGCUUCUUUGUCAAAGAUCAAUUGACUGUAUUUAUAUGCGCGUAUUUGGGUUUUCUAUUCCAUUCUCUUGGUCUGUGUGCCUCUUUUUUCCCAAUGUCAUAUUGUCUUGAUCACUUUAACUGUGUAGUAAGUCUGGAAGUUAGGUAGUGUUAAUCCUCCAGCUUUUUUUUUUCUAUAUUGUGUUGGCUCUUCUGGAGCCUUUAUCUCACCAUAUAAAUGUUAGAAUCACUUUGUUGAUAUUCACGAAAUACUUUUCCAGGAUUUCAAUUAAGACUGCAUUUAAUGUAUAGAUAAUUUUGAGAACUGGCAUCUUGACAAUAUUGAUGCUUCUAUACAUAAACAUGAAACAUCUGUACAUUUAUUUAGUUCUUCUUUGAUUUCUUUCAUCAGAGCUUCAUAGUUUCUCUUUAUAUAGAUAUUGAACAAACUUUGUUGGAUUUACCAAAGUAUUUCAUUUUUUGGUGCUAAUAUAAAUGAUACUGCAUUUCUAAUUUCCAAUUCAAUUUGUUCAUUGCUGAUAUCAUGUUAGUUUUUAAUCUUCUUCAAACUCAAGCAGUCUCUCAGUCUUUCCUAGACUUUCCUAACUUCUACAUGAAAAUUUUAUGCAAAUUAUUUAAUAGGAUGUCUCUAAAUUUAGGCUUGUCUAAUUUUUCAAUGUAAUUGGAUUCAGGUUAUGCAUUUUUGAUAGAUAUAUCUUAGAGUGGUACUGUAUUCUUCUUAUUGCAUCCUGUCAGGUGGUGCAUAGUUUAAACUUGUCCCAUUACUGAUGAUACUAACUUUGACCACUUUACUAAGCAGUGAUUGCCAGCUUCCUCCACUGUAAUGUCAUUCUUUUUAUCUUCUAAAUUAAAUAAAUAUUUUAUGGGAAGGCAUUUAACGGCUAUACUACUAUUCUAUAUAUCAUUAAACUGUUAUGAGUUAAUUUUUUCGAUUAUUGACUGCUAUGCAACAAAACACUAAAAAAUAUAAUGGCUUGGGCCGGGCGCGGUGGCUCAUCCUGUAAUCCCAGCACUUUGGGAGGCCGAGCCGGGUGGAUCACGAGGUCAAGAGAUCGAGACCAUCCUGGUCAACAUGGUGAAACCCUGUCUCUACUAAAACUACAAAAAAUUAGCUGGGCAUGGUGGUGUGUGCCUGUAAUCCCAGCUACUCAGGAGGCUGAGGCAGAAGAAUUGCCUGAACCCAAGAGGUGGAGGUUGUGGUGAGCCAGGAUCAUGCCAUUGCACUCCAGCCUGGUCUGUUGUGUUGAGUGGGCUCAGUUAUACCAUUCCUUUUUGGCCUCUUAUAAUACUGAAGUCAAAUGACAGUUGGCCUGCAGUCCUCAGGAGGCUUGUCUUGGCUGGAUGUACAAGGUGCUCACUGACAUAUAUAGAUCUAAAGUUGAGUCUGACUGUUGGCUGGAACCUCAGCUGGGGCUGCGAAAGGUUUCCAACCAUAGCCUCUCCACAUAAUUUAAGUUUAUUGCAACAUGAUGACAAAUUCUGAGACAGAAGAAGAGAGAAAGGAAGGGAGUUAUGAGUGUCCAUUCCAGGAGACCUAGGUGGAAACUGCAAGACUUUUUAUAAUCUAGACUUGGAAGUACCAGAACAUUACUUCCAGUGUAUUCUAUCUGUAAAGCAAGUUAUAUUUAGUUCAUGUCCUGAUGUGAGAAAUAGUAUUGUGUACAGGGAAAAAGAACGUCACAUCUAUUUUUGUAGACUGAUAAAGUUGUUUCUGGGCUGAGUUAAUAAUGCCAUGCUAGCUAUUUAUUUCUGAUUUUCUAGUUCUGCCAUUUGUUCUACAUUUAUUAUUAGUAUUUGGUGUUAGUUGGGAUUCCCUAGGAAAACAGGACCAAUAGGACAUAUCUAUAACUGUUUUCCAUAAAGACACACACACACACACACUCCACACACACAUGCACAUUCAAUCUGUUGGUGGCCUGACUAGAGCAAUAGGCAAAGGCAAGGGGAAAUUUGUAUCUCUUCCUGAUAUCAGUCAGCUUUUUCCCGCUCUACACAGGGACUAACAUCAUGAGCCCUCUGGUUCUCAGAACUGUAACACUAGUUUUCCUGGGUCUCCAGCUUUUAGAAGGUAGAAUCAUGAGACCUCUCAGCAUCCAUAAUUGUGUGAGCCAAUGCCUUGUAACAAAUCUCCUACAAACAUAUGUAUAAAUGUGCAUAUAAAAAUAUAAUAAUAUACAAAUAUAGAUACAUAUGUUUAUGUGUAUAUAUGUAAUUAUAUUUAAGGCUAUUUACAUGUAAAGAAAGGAAAAGCAAUGUAAAUAUGUGUUUUCAUCUGAAGUAAAUGUCAGAUUUUGUCUUUGUUUAAACUUUGGGCAAUGCUGCUGAUUACAUUAACUUACAAUAUAAUUUCACUUGCACCACCAGAGUAAAAUCUUAGUGUGUUUUAUUUAUCUAAUAAAUUUAUAACAUCCACAUGGCUUUAUUGUGAUAUUAUUUCAACUUAAAAUGUAAUUCCAAAAUUCAUAGUUAAUUUUAAGUUGGACUAAUUCUAAGCUGAAAUAAUCAAUAAAUAAUCUUUGGCUAUUUGAAAUUUAUCUUCUUAGAAAUUAAAAUGAGUAUUGACAGAAAAAGCGGAUACAUAGUUACCACACAAUCGUUUUUACUUAUGUAUUCUCGGCUACAUGUACUUGUUCUUCAUUCAGAUUAUGAUGGUAGAAUCAUU